AUCUUUGUGCUUGGGACAAUGAUACAGCUAGUGAGGUUCUAACUGAUGCAUGUCUAUUGCUGGUUGAAAAUUAUUUCCAAACCCCUUCUUCAGCCUGGGUUUGCCCAUGGCCGUUGAGAAUUUUUGGAAGGGCUCCUCUAAUGGGG
RNAcentral lists this small nuclear RNA (146 nucleotides) under Capsicum annuum. RNAcentral describes it as "U4 spliceosomal RNA". It matches the Rfam family "U4 spliceosomal RNA". From Rfam's summary of the family: U4 small nuclear RNA (U4 snRNA) is a component of the major U2-dependent spliceosome. The structure of U4 snRNA from yeast and human has been reported. The record is from Rfam by way of RNAcentral. Lineage: Eukaryota; Viridiplantae; Streptophyta; Magnoliopsida; Solanales; Solanaceae.